Molecule: ribosomal RNA, 643 nt
Filed under: uncultured Basidiomycota
Lineage: Eukaryota; Fungi; Basidiomycota
Description: LSU rRNA
Rfam family: Eukaryotic large subunit ribosomal RNA
Source: RNAcentral
CCUCAAAUCAGGUAGGACUACCCGCUGAACUUAAGCAUAUCAAUAAGCGGAGGAAAAGAAACUAACAAGGAUUCCCCUAGUAACUGCGAGUGAAGCGGGAAAAGCUCAAAUUUAAAAUCUGGCAGUCUUGCUGUCCGAGUUGUAAUCUGGAGAAGCAUUUUCUGUGUCGGACCGUGUACAAGUCUCUUGGAAUAGAGCGUCAUAGAGGGUGAGAAUCCCGUCCAUGACACGGACUCCCGAUGCUUUGUGAUAUGCUCUCGAAGAGUCGAGUUGUUUGGGAAUGCAGCUCAAAAUGGGUGGUAAAUUCCAUCUAAAGCUAAAUAUUGGCGAGAGACCGAUAGCGAUCAAGUACCGUGAGGGAAAGAUGAAAAGCACUUUGGAAAGAGAGUUAAACAGUACGUGAAAUUGUUGAAAGGGAAACGCUUGAAGUCAGUCGCGUUGUCUGAGACUCAGCCUUGCUUUUGCUCGGUGUACUUCCUGGUUGACGGGUCAGCAUCAAUUUUGACCGGUGGAAAAAGGCCAGUUGAAUGUGGCACCUUCGGGUGUGUUAUAGCUUCUGGUCGUAUACAUCGGUUGGGAUUGAGGAACUCAGCACGCCGCAAGGUCGGGGUUCGCCCACGUUCGUGCUUAGGAUGCUGGCAUA